CCAGACUCCUACGGGAGGCAGCAGUGGGGAAUAUUGGGCAAUGGGCGCAAGCCUGACCCAGCAACGCCGCGUGAAGGAAGAAGGCUUUCGGGUUGUAAACUUCUUUUAUUCGGGACGAAGAAAGUGACGGUACCGAAUGAAUAAGCCACGGCUAACUACGUGCCAGCAGCCGCGGUAAUACGUAGGUGGCAAGCGUUAUCCGGAUUUAUUGGGUGUAAAGGGCGUGUAGGCGGGAAUGCAAGUCAGAUGUGAAAACUCAGGGCUCAACCCUGAGCCUGCAUUUGAAACUGUAUUUCUUGAGUGCUGGAGAGGCAAUCGGAAUUCCGUGUGUAGCGGUGAAAUGCGUAGAUAUUAGGAGGAACACCAGUGGCGAAGGCGGCCUGCUGGACGACAACUGACGGUGAGGCGCGAAAGCGUGGGGAGCAAACAGGAUUAGAUACCCUCGUAAUA
This 450-nucleotide ribosomal RNA is filed under the name uncultured bacterium. RNAcentral describes it as "partial 16S ribosomal RNA". It matches the Rfam family "Bacterial small subunit ribosomal RNA", at positions 331 to 795 of the family's 1533-position model. The record is from RNAcentral.